This 496-nucleotide ribosomal RNA is filed under the name uncultured bacterium. RNAcentral describes it as "partial 16S ribosomal RNA". It matches the Rfam family "Bacterial small subunit ribosomal RNA", at positions 29 to 507 of the family's 1533-position model. The record is from RNAcentral.
AUGAACGCUGGCGGCGUGCCUAAUACCUGCAAGUCGAGCGAACGGACGAGAAGCUUGCUUUUCUGAUGUUAGCGGCGGAUGGGUGAGUAACACGUGGAUAACCUACCUAUAAGACUGGGAUAACUUCGGGAAACCGGAGCUAAUACCGGAUAAUAUUUUGAACCGCAUGGUUCAAAAGUGAAAGACGGUCUUGCUGUCACUUAUAGAUGGAUCCGCGCUGCAUUAGCUAGUUGGUAAGGUAACGGCUUACCAAGGCAACGAUGCAUAGCCGACCUGAGAGGGUGAUCGGCCACACUGGAACUGAGACACGGUCCAGACUCCUACGGGAGGCAGCAGUAGGGAAUCUUCCGCAAUGGGCGAAAGCCUGACGGAGCAACGCCGCGUGAGUGAUGAAGGUCUUCGGAUCGUAAAACUCUGUUAUUAGGGAAGAACAUAUGUGUAAGUAACUGUGCACAUCUUGACGGUACCUAAUCAGAAAGCCACGGCUAACUACGUG